Molecule: RNA transcript, 8322 nt
Organism: Lytechinus variegatus (green sea urchin)
Lineage: Eukaryota; Metazoa; Echinodermata; Echinoidea; Temnopleuroida; Toxopneustidae
Exons: 2
Source: RefSeq, a predicted model, not a curated record
AUAAAAAGUUUUCUUUAGAAAGUCCUUAGAGUGAAAGUACUAGAAAUGUCGUCAUAGACGAGGUUCCAGGAGAAUGGCUCGUAAUGGAUGUUUGAGGGCGUUUUUUCUAGGCAUGCAACUGAUUUUCCGUGUUUUGAAAUGGUCGGAUGACCGAAAGUUUAUGAUGAUAAAUUGAUUGUUUUUGAUGAGCCCAACGUUGUAAGUAGACAAUUAUGAAGUUAUUCCCUUAAUAAUAUGUUGUAUGAUGAUAGGUGAUAAGAUUUAUUAAUUAUGUUGAUGUUAAAGGGUAAAAAUUGAUGAGAAAGAAAUGUAUCGAGAGAAGUUUUGUUGCACGAGUAAUACAGUUUAGUAUUGCAUAGCCAUAGGGCCGUCACGUGCAAAUUUAGUGACCGGAAUUAGUUACGUCUUUUGGACUAAUUGGAUUUAUACAUGUGAGCCGUAAUAGGGCUUUUGAUUACAGUUUGGUUAUUAUGGUGUUUGAAAAUAUUGAUAUAAAGGACCACAUAUGUGUUUAUUAAGUACUUAAUGAAGAAUAGUGAUGUACAUGAAUAAGUUGAGUAAUUUCAAGGAAUUUCAGGUAUCUAUGACAGUAUACCUAGAUAAAUAAAAGAUAAGUUUUACAAGCUUUUUGGAUGAGAUAAAAAUAGAUUUAUGACUUGGUUUUGAAUGCUUGAGAGCAUUGAGUUUACCGAUUUAGAUACUUUACAGCUAACGAUAGGAAAGAAGAUAAUCGCAUGUUUCAAGUAAUGUCUUUUGGAUUCAGAGUUUAUAGUUUAGAAGUUACCUUGAUGUAUGACAGAAUACUCAAAGUCAAACUAAUCAGUUCAUAUUCAGAUAUGAAUUUUUAUUAAUUGAGACCAGCUAGACAGACAAGUAUUAUAAUUGUAACAUUGUAUGAAUAUGCAGAUGUGUUCAAGUAUUCCAAUAUUGAUUGGUUGUUUGUUUGUUUUUUGUUCAAUUACAGAUUGAACCGUGCUGAUAUGUACAGAUGUGCUGUUAGCGUGGUCUCAUACUGGGCCAAUACAACCUGUGUCAUGAUUGAUUAUUUAUCAUCGGUGUAGUCACGGUCUAUCCCCAACAUCAAGUUCAAUAACGAUCAUCAGGAUGAGUGAUGCAGGUCAACCUCGAGAUGCUGGUGAGUCAUCCACUGUUAGAGAAAUGAGGCAGGAAGAUGACCAGGAUGUUCAGCCUGGAGACUCUGCAAGUCAGUGUGGAAGCCACACAAGUGCUGCUUCAUCAGCUAAGCUAAGAGUGAUGGCCCGCAAAGCAGCAUUGGCAGCUGAAGCAGCUGCAAUGGAGGAACGACAAGAUCUAGAACUUGAAGAAUUUCGACUUACGCAGCGUAAGUUGAGACUGUCUAUGAAAACCAAGCUGCGGAUGGCAGAAGCAGAAGAACGCAUUUACUUGGACUUUGAAGCCAAUAAGUUUGGAGUCAGCUCUCCUGAGAAAGAGGAUGUAACCUUGCCAUACCCCGCAGAUAAUAUGGCAAUGAAAACUCCACAGAACACUGUUCCCACGUCUUCAGAGACAGCAGUCGCUAGCUCAGCAGAGGCAGCUGUUCACACUACAACCUCAAAGCCUGUUGAAGCGAGUGACUCUUCUUGGACUAACAAGGGUAAAGGUGAUAAGAUACUAGUGAAUCAGUCCAGGAAUGAGAAUUCAGAUCUCAUCAAUCUGAUGAGGCAAAGUCAGAAGCAGCAACAACAUCUCCUUGAAGCUAUGCAACUCCCUAAAGCUGAACUGACUUGUUAUGAAGGAGAUCCAUUGAAAUUUUGGGAGUUUUGGCGUAGCUUCGAAGAUAGUGUGGAUGCCACACCAGUGGAAGAUAGGACAAAGUUGACGAGAUUGCUCCAUUACUGUAAGGGAGAACCUAAGAGAUUACUGAGUCCUUGCCUGUUAAUGCCUACCAUGCAGGGAUAUUCCACAGCGAAGCAUCUUUUACAGGAGCGUUAUGGUAACCCAGUCAUCAUAACAGAGGCCUGGGUGAAGAAGAUAACGAAUGGGAAGAGCAUAGGCCCUCAAGACAGAAAUGCACUGAGAGCUCUGGCAGAUGAUAUGAGUGUAUGCUUGAUGUCCUUUCAGGCCAUGGGGUUUGAGCAUGAACUCUCACCUCAAAAGGUGCUUCUACCGAUUGCUGAACGACUGCCUUAUCAUCUAAAAGGAAAAUGGCUUAAUAGAGUCGGAGUGCUUCGUCGUCAGAACAGGGUCCCGGGCUUCGAGGACAUGAUGUACUUCGUGCAAGAAGCUGCACAAGAGAUCAACGACCCGGUCUACGGUGGCCUUAUGUCUUCCAAGAGUGAUCAACGAAAAUUUACUAGUGGUGGGAAACCCAAGGGCUCCUUUUCAACUUCAUCAAGUUCCAAGGAUGCAGAACCAGGUUGUUUCGAGUGUAAAGGUGACCACAAGCUGUGGGACUGCAAGCAGUUCAAAGACUUGAUGCCCAAAGACCGCCUUCGGCUCGCAAGAAAGAAAGGACUGUGCUUUAACUGCUUAAGACCAGGUCACAUGACUGGAGCUUGCAAAAGCAAGAAGACUUGCUCCGUGGAAGGCUGCUCUCGAAAGCACAAUAAGCUCUUACAUACAUCAGAAUCAUCUGGUAACCAAAAUUCAGAGGGUGAUGCACAGAAUAACAGUGUAGAAGUCGAGGCGUCUUGCAAUUCCACAGGGGCCGGCAGGAGGAGUGUGCUACCAAUAGUGCCUGUGAGAGUACGAGCGAAAGGCGGCAAACAAGUGCUGAAGACAUAUGCACUACUUGACUCCGGUUCUACAAGCACGUUCUGUUUGACGAGUCUAGUGAGGCGCCUAGGAGUUAAAGGCGUAAAGGAGAAGCUCCUGCUAACAACUCUUGAGAGGAAAGAAAGUGUUGUCCACACUGAAGCUGUAAGUCUUGUAGUGGAUACUGGAGACGACAGUAAAAGGGUGAAGCUGCCAUGUGUUUAUACGAAGGACAGUAUCAACGUCAAGGGCAUUCACAUGGCCAAGUAUGAAGAGAUUAAAGGAUUGACCCACCUUAAAGGUAUUAACAUCCCUAUGGCAACCGAGGAGGAAGUGGGUCUGAUAAUCGGCCAAGACGUGCCUGAAGCCUUGUUGCCUUUAGAGAUCAGAAAAGGAAAAGAGGGACCGUACGCAAUAAGGACUUGUCUCGGAUGGACGCUCCAUGGUCCUCUGAACACCACAGAGAAAAAGGAAAAGGAAAUAUAUGCCACAAGCACCUUCGUCGAAGGAGAUCUGUGUCUUGAGAAACAGUUAGAGAAAUUCUGGAGGCUGGAGACUGCUGAUCCGCUGAAGGAUGAGAGGGGAAUGUCUAGAAAUGAUGUGAAGGCUUUGGCAGAAUGGGAGCAAGGCAUCUGCACAGAAGGCGGCCACUACCAGCUUCCUAUCCCCUUCAAAAAGAGACCUCCCAAUCUCCAGAAUAAUCGUUGGUUAGCUCAGAGGAGACUGGAAAGCCUAGGAAGAAAGCUUAACCAAAGUGAUGGCCUCCUCCAGAAGUAUGCAGACGGCAUAACAGAUCUCUUGGAAAAAGGUUAUGCUGAAGAGGUCAAUGAACAAGAGGUAAAUAAGAACCAAUGUGAAUGGUAUUUGCCACACCAUGCAGUAUUCCAUCCGCAGAAGCCUGGGAAAGUAAGGAUUGUUUUCGACUGUGCGGCUGAAUGGAAAGGCUUGUCACUGAACAAGGUAGUCUACCAGGGACCAGAUCUUACCAACAAGCUGAUCGGGGUAUUGUUGAGGUUUCGAUCAGCUCCUGUGGCCUUGAUGGCAGAUGUCGAAGCCAUGUUCCAUCAAGUACGAGUGCCUGCCAUAGACCGAGAUGUUCUGAGAUUCCUAUGGUGGCCAAGAGGUAACAUGAAAGAAAACCCCCUAACCUACCGAAUGUGUGUUCACUUGUUCGGGGGAACCUGGAGUCCGAGUGUAUGCAGCUAUGCUCUCCGCAGGACAGCUGAGGACUUUGAAACUGAAUUCAGCCCAGAUGUCGCAAGAAUUGUGAAGCAUAAUUUCUACGUGGAUGAUUGCUUGGUGGCUGUACCUGAUGAAGAUGCUGCAAUUAGAAUAGCUACUGAGUUGAGGAGCCUGUUGCAGAAGGGAGGCUUUAGACUUACUAAGUGGAUUAGCAAUCGAACCAAGGUUCUUCAAUCUAUCCCAGAGGAAGAGAGGGCUAAGCAAGUCAAGGGCUUAGACUUAAACAGGGAACCACUUCCAGUUGAGAGAGCCUUGGGUAUCAACUGGGAUGUACAGGACGACUGUCUUGAGUACAAGACAUCAAUAAAGGACAAACCUCUGACAAGAAGGGGAUUGCUUAGCAUUGUGUCAAGCAUUUAUGACCCGCUUGGCUUCUUGAGUCCCUUCAUCUUGAAAGCUAAGCAUCUGAUGCAAAGACUGACCACAAUGAAGUUAGGAUGGGAUGACCCAAUUCCAGAAGUUGAACAGGAGAUUUGGCAACAGUGGGUAAAACAACUUCCUGAGGUAGAACACUUCAAUGUGCCAAGAUGUAUGAUUCCCACGAGCUACGGUGCCGUGAUUGAGUAUCAGCUACAUCAUUUCGCUGAUGCCUCCGAAGAUGCCUAUGGAGCAGUCACUUACCUGGUAGCCAAGAAUUCUGAUGGACAAGUCUGCAGCAGCCUUGUCUUUGCCAAAUCUCACCUCGCUCCUCUAAAAAGGACUACCAUACCUCGCCUGGAGCUGAUGGCUGCUACUGUUGCGGUGAAGGCUGAUGUCUUGGUAAGGAGAGAACUGGGUCUACCACUGAAGGACUCUGUGUUUUGGACUGACAGCAUGAUUGUAUUGGCAUACAUCAAGAAUGAGGACAAACGAUUUCACACCUUUGUUGCCAAUAGAUUGUCAGUGAUUCACUCUGUCAGUGAUGUGAAGCAGUGGCACCAUGUCAACAGCAAGGAGAAUCCAGCUGAUGAUGUAAGCAGAGGCAUGAGUGCACGAGAUCUGGUAGCUAGCCAAAGAUGGAUUCAUGGACCAGAAUUCAUACUGCUGUCUGAAGAGGAAAGGAGCCAAGAUCCAGACUCAGAUGAUAUAUCAGACAGUGAUCCAGAAGUAAAGACUGUUAAGUCCUUCACUGCCGAAACUAGAGAUGAAGUACCACUGGCAGCUACUGACAAACUGUUGAACUACUUCUCGGAGUGGUACAGGCUGAAGAAGGCAGUAGCUAGGAUCUUACAGUUUGGGAAGUAUUUGCAGAGUAAAGCACAGAAGAAAACAUUUGACUGUGAGAAGCUUCUUACAGUGAGUGACUUGAGAGAUGCAGAACAAGCAAUUCUGAAGUAUAUCCAGCAUCAGAGCUUUCCUGAAGAACUGGAAGUAUUGCAGAAACAUGUAAGAAAUGAAGGAGAGAAACAAGGACAGGUAUCCAGAGUAAAGAAAUCUAGCUCUCUUUUCAAGCUGGACCCAAAGGUAUUUGAUGAUGGUCUUAUUCAUGUAGGUGGACGGCUUCAAUAUGCAUCAGUCGAGGAUAAGACCAAACAUCCCAUCAUUCUUCCCAAGAUGCACCAUGUUGUGAGACUGAUCAUAAGGAAAUAUCAUCUGAUGUCGGGUCACUCAGGACGAGAACAUGUGCUCUCAUUACUUAGGAGACAGUACUGGGUAAUAAGUGGAAGAGUAGCCGUUAGACAAGCUCUUAGAGACUGUGUGGUGUGCAAGCGGAUGUCAGCAACUCCAACCACACAAAAGAUGGCUGAUCUACCAAGUGACAGAGUGCAAACAGAGAAACCACCAUUUACCCAUGUUGGUGUUGAUUGUUUUGGUCCGUUCAUGGUCAAGCAAGGAAGGUCUCGUGUCAAGCGUUAUGGCUGCAUUUUUACCUGUUUGGUAGUACGUGCAGUACAUAUUGAAAUAUUGCACUCUUUGGAAACGGACUCAUUCAUAAAUGGACUUCAACGGUUCAUAGCACGUCGAGGUCAACCAGAGGUUAUCAGAAGCGACAACGGGACGAACUUUGUUGGAGCCGAUCGAGAACUACGUGAUGGUAUCCGAUCCUGGAAUCAACAGAAGAUCCAGGAUCAUCUAUUGCAGAAAGGUAUAGACUGGAAGUUCAAUCCUCCAAGUGCUUCGCACAUGGGGGGCUCGUGGGAGAGACAGAUCAGAACUGUUCGCAAGGUGUUGAACGCUUUACUGAAACAGCAGGCUCUCUCUGAUGAGGGCUUGUGUACUCUGAUGUGUCUGGUAGAAGCAGUGAUCAACGGACGUCCUCUCACUGUGGUCUCUGAUGAUUGCAGGGACCUAGAACCACUAACACCUAACCAUCUCUUGCUUCUGCGGCAGAGCAAUGUCCUCCCCUUCAACGUGAGUGAGAAGAGAGAUCUCUAUAGUCAAAGAAGAUGGCGUCAGAUACAGUAUUUAGCCGACGUCUUUUGGCGUAGGUGGAUUCGCGAAUAUCUGCCUGCCCUCCAACAGCGAGAGAAGUGGGGUACGCCAUCGAGAAAUAUAGCUGUAGGGGACAUUGUGCUCAUCAUGGACGGAUUGCCGAGGAAUCAAUGGUUAAUGGGUAGGAUAACAGAAACAUUUCCUGGUAGAGACGGUUUAGUUAGGACGGCAAAGUUAAAGACCAAAUCAACUACACUGGUUAGACCCGUACACAAACUUUGUCUAAUUGAAUCUACAGAACAAAAGCAAUAAGAUAGACCCUAUUAUAGUUUGAGCGAUAUGAUGCAUGAUUUAAUGGACGCUAAAAGACUACUUUGAGAUUGCAUUUUACAAAGUCAGGAGGAUAGACUAUUCGUAAGAAAGCUCAUCAUUGUUUUCUCUUGGAAUGACAUAUUCAAUCUUGAUGAAUAUAUUUUGAAAGGACUAUUAUUUCAUCGCAUAACAAGCUCAGAUCCACAACGAGAAUGGACUCUUUAGGACGGUUCUUAACAAUGAUAACAUUGUUGGAUCUUUCAACAUUUAAUGCAUAUGCGUGAGAUUUUUAUCAUUAUGUAAUUCUGUGUAAUAUGAAAUGAAUCUCAUUAUUAAGAUGUUUGUUUUUCAUUGCAGAACAGGUCUCUGCUGGUGUGCCUGUUAUCGGUGGAUUAUAAGAAAUAUUUUUGAUGGCAAAUUUGCAUGUUAUGAUGCUUAAGAAAUUUUCAUUUGUUUUGGCAAAAUGGAAAAAGAGAUCAAAAUUAUUUUUUAACAUGUUUUUGGAACACAUUUCACCAAAUAUGUGAUAUUUAUUGAAAAUUCAGUAUUAUAUCUUGAAGGUUCAAGGACAUUUUUUCUUUUGAGUUUCAAAGUAUUCAAACAGAUAUAUUUUUGUGCAAAGAUUGUAAUUGUAUGUAUAGCUGCAUUCACGAGAAAUGAUGCAGACUGCUGUGGAGUUUACUUGUGUUCUUCAUCAGGUCCAGUGACCUAGUUGGUGCUAUUUUCAGGCUAGUUAGGCGCUAAUUGCUCUUUUUUCAAAAUCAAAAUCCUUCAAUGUCGAACAGAUUUCUGUGUCCCAGAGAGCUCCACUAGUAGACUCUUCUCUGUAUAUAAAUAUGCAUGUUAUUUGAAUUGUAACAGUGUGUUGAUAACUUCUUGUUUAUUGCUUUAAGUACAGUCAUACAUAUGAAAGAUUUGGAAUUUGGAAGCCUUUAUCAUUUUACCACACAGCUAGUUGCGAGACAUUUACAGUAACGAAAGAAUAAUUGGUUGAUAAUGGAUUUCAGGUGUAGACACUCAGUGAAAUGUACUCUUCAGGAUUUAUUGUAAAAUUUUCAUUCUUUAUAUUUCAUAUAUUAGAGUUGGACAUGUGGAUUCGUUUUACACAUAUAUCAUUGAAUAUGUAUUAGAAUAUUUGAUAGGAAUUUUAGCACAUUUAUGUUUGAUAUGUUGAAAAGAUUAAAGUUGUGGGAGUAGUUUGAUUAGAAAAGAUAAUGUAAGAUAAUUGAAACAAAGGUACCUAACAGAUGAUUUGAUGACAGUUAAGUUUAUUCCAUAUAAAUGACUUAUAUGCUUAAAGGGACAUGUGUAUCCAUUUUUGGAUAAUUUUGUUUAUGAUAUGUAUUUUUAUAAAUGUUUGCUGUUGGCUCACAUUUAAGGGGCCGGGAUGUUAAUGAUAAAAAGUUUUCUUUAGAAAGUCCUUAGAGUGAAAGUACUAGAAAUGUCGUCAUAGACGAGGUUCCAGGAGAAUGGCUCGUAAUGGAUGUUUGAGGGCGUUUUUUCUAGGCAUGCAACUGAUUUUCCGUGUUUUGAAAUGGUCGGAUGACCGAAAGUUUAUGAUGAUAAAUUGAUUGUUUUUGAUGAGCCCAACGUUAUUGAACCGUGCUGAUAUGUACAGAUGUGCUGUUAGCGUGGUCUCAUACUGGGCCAAUACAACCUGUGUCAUGAUUGAUUAUUUAUCAUCGGUGUAGUCACGGUCUA